GUGAUAGAAUUGAAGGGAAGAAUGGAAAUUAAUUUCCUGCCAGGUUAGCCGUCAUAAAGACAAAUAUCUUUUUUGUUUAGGUAUUUCAGAUCACUGUACCAGAACAUUGUCUUCAUUGUGGAGAAAAAUAAAUUAUUUUAUAAGUAUAAGGAAUCGUCUACAUGUCACAGUUUAUAACUUUUAUUUGGGUUAAAUGCAGCCUUCGUGAAGUGAAACAGUGAUAAAGGUCUUCUAAAUGUGCAAGCGAAAUUUAAUAUUUCUGUUGCAUAAUUAGAUUGACGGAACUACAUCUUUUCCUCCUUCGAAUCGAAGAAAAGGGCGGUGCGCGCUCCCGACAGGGGGUGCAUUUAACGGCAGGGGUGCAGAAUUCGGCACAACACCUGUUCGGAUUAAGUUCGAGAACCGAGGUACCACUGUACAAAGAACAAACUCACCGUUCAUGUACUGUGAAUAACAACCAGUAUCAAGUCGCUGAAAGUGCUCUUUGAAAGAAUGUCAGCAGAAAAUGAUUAUUCAUAU
Molecule: non-coding RNA, 519 nt
Organism: Paramormyrops kingsleyae
Lineage: Eukaryota; Metazoa; Chordata; Actinopteri; Osteoglossiformes; Mormyridae
Source: RefSeq, a predicted model, not a curated record